GCGGACGUAGCUCAGCUGGUAGAGCGCAACCUUGCCAAGGUUGAGGUCGCGAGUUCGAACCUCGUCGUCCGCUCCG
RNAcentral lists this transfer RNA (76 nucleotides) under Streptomyces sp. WMMB 714. RNAcentral's name for it is "tRNA_Gly_GCC". It matches the Rfam family "tRNA". Rfam says of the family: Transfer RNA (tRNA) molecules are approximately 80 nucleotides in length. Lineage: Bacteria; Bacillati; Actinomycetota; Actinomycetes; Kitasatosporales; Streptomycetaceae. The record is from RNAcentral. RNAcentral also lists the same sequence under 2 other names.